UCCUGGUUUCCCAGGCAGUCCCAUCAGAGUGCCUACUUUCGUAGUUGCAACUGAUAGCAAGGGUUGCGCUCGUUAGAGGACUUAACCCAACAUCUCACGACACGAGCUGACGACAGCCAUGCAGCACCUGUGUACCCGUUUGGACCGAAGCCCAAAAAACUGUAUUUCUACAGCGGUCAAGUACAUGUCAAGCCUAGGUAAGGUUCCUCGCGUAGUGUCGAAUUAAACCACAUGUUCCACCGCUUGUGCGAGCCCCCGUCAAUUCCUUUGAGUUUUAAUCUUGCGACCGUAGUCCCCAGGCGGAUCACUUAACGCGUUAGCUACGACACUAAUUCCGUAAAACGGAACUAACGUCUAGUGAUCAUCGUUUACAGCGUGGACUAC
Molecule: unclassified non-coding RNA, 384 nt
Filed under: uncultured bacterium
Lineage: Bacteria
Description: contains 16S-23S intergenic spacer region
Source: RNAcentral